AUGAACGCUGGCGGCGUGCCUAAUACAUGCAAGUCGAGCGAACAGACGAGGAGCUUGCUCCUCUGACGUUAGCGGCGGACGGGUGAGUAACACGUGGAUAACCUACCUAUAAGACUGGGAUAACUCCGGGAAACCGGAGCUAAUACCGGAUAAUAUAUUGAACCGCAUGGUUCAAUAGUGAAAGACGGUUUUGCUGUCACUUAUAGAUGGAUCCGCGCCGCAUUAGCUAGUUGGUAAGGUAACGGCUUACCAAGGCAACGAUGCGUAGCCGACCUGAGAGGGUGAUCGGCCACACUGGAACUGAGACACGGUCCAGACUCCUACGGGAGGCAGCAGUAGGGAAUCUUCCGCAAUGGGCGAAAGCCUGACGGAGCAACGCCGCGUGAGUGAUGAAGGUCUUCGGAUCGUAAAACUCUGUUAUUAGGGAAGAACAAAUGUGUAAGUAACUAUGCACGUCUUGACGGUACCUAAUCAGAAAGCCACGGCUAACUACGUG
Molecule: ribosomal RNA, 496 nt
Filed under: uncultured bacterium
Lineage: Bacteria
Description: partial 16S ribosomal RNA
Rfam family: Bacterial small subunit ribosomal RNA
Source: RNAcentral